GGUAUAUUACAAUAGGUCGACACUAUUUCAAAAAUAAUGCAAAAUAAACAUCAAUUUGGAAAUAAAAGUAAAACUCAACACCACAUACAUUUGUGUUUAUAUGCAUAAAAAUUUUGGUCAACAAAAUUUUCAUUUGCCUAAAACUCAAACUCAGACCUCAAGUUACACUGUUACUUUAUGCAUGAGCAGACUUUGCACAACCAGCUUAUGUAGAAAAUAAAUACAUCUUCUCCGCCAAUAGGCUCGCGACAUCCAUGCUAUGUUCAACCUAAAACCUAUUCCGGCUUCUAAAAAACCAAGAGAGUUACAUUGAUCCGAAAUUGUACAAAUUUGCAUCAACGUUCCAAUGGUUUUUGAUCGUUAAAUGAAAUCUGCUCUAAACGUAUCGACUUAGGCCCCAUCUGAAGGUAGAGAGUUACAUUGAUCCGAAAUUGUACAAAUUUGCAUCAACGUUCCAAUGGUUUUUGAUCGUUAAAUGAAAUCUGCUCUAAACGUAUCGACUAAGGCCCCAUCUGAAGGUUGCUGCAAAGCUGUAACAAAAAUCAGCUCCAUUUUCACCAAACCUUCAAACUGUGGGAAAACUUGAACGAUGCAGCCACACUAUAGUAACGUUGCUGUUCAGUAUAUAAAACACUGAAAAUUCCAGGAAGCGUAGCAACAAAAUUGAUUUCUCACCAAAAAAGUUUUGCCUGAGUACUGGCACCUAAAGCAACAUCUCUCCAUCAGGGCCAGUGAUCAUAUUCUCCAAGUCUU
This 753-nucleotide long non-coding RNA is filed under the name Nicotiana tabacum (common tobacco). RNAcentral describes it as "long non-coding RNA (NTAB_LNC003094)". Lineage: Eukaryota; Viridiplantae; Streptophyta; Magnoliopsida; Solanales; Solanaceae. The record is from RNAcentral.